UACGUAGGUGGCAAGCGUUGUCCGGAUUUACUGGGCGUAAAGGGCGCGCAGGCGGCGAUUUUUGUCAGGCGUGAAAUCCCCUGGCUUAACCUGGGAACGGCGCUUGGGACGGGAUCGCUAGAGAUCGGGAGAGGAGAGUGGAAUUCCCAGUGUAGAGGUGAAAUGCGUAGAGAUGGGGAAGAACACCGGUGGCGAAGGCGGCUCUCUGGACCGAUACUGACGCUGAGGCGCGAAAGCGUGGGGAGCAAACAGG
RNAcentral lists this ribosomal RNA (253 nucleotides) under uncultured bacterium. RNAcentral's name for it is "partial 16S ribosomal RNA". It matches the Rfam family "Bacterial small subunit ribosomal RNA", at positions 524 to 776 of the family's 1533-position model. The record is from RNAcentral.